RNAcentral lists this ribosomal RNA (460 nucleotides) under uncultured bacterium. RNAcentral describes it as "partial 16S ribosomal RNA". It matches the Rfam family "Bacterial small subunit ribosomal RNA", at positions 338 to 795 of the family's 1533-position model. The record is from RNAcentral.
CCUACGGGUGGCUGCAGUGAGGAAUAUUGGUCAAUGGACGCAAGUCUGAACCAGCCAUGCCGCGUGCGGGAUGAAGGCUCUAUGGGUUGUAAACUGCUUUUGUACGAGGAUAAACUCAGAGACGCGUCUCGGUCUGAAAGUAUCGUACGAAUAAGGAUCGGCUAACUCCGUGCCAGCAGCCGCGGUAAUACAGAGGAUUCGAGCGUUAUCCGGAUUUAUUGGGUUUAAAGGGUGCGUAGGCGGUCGGAUAAGUUAGAGGUGAAAUCCUGGGGCUCAACUUCGGAAUUGCCGCUGAUACUGUUCGGCUAGAGAGUAGUUGCGGUAGGCGGAAUGUAUGGUGUAGCGGUGAAAUGCUUAGAGAUCAUACAGAACCCCGAUUGCGAAGGCAGCUUACCAAGCUACUUCUGACGUUGAGGCACGAAAGCGUGGGGAGCAAACAGGAUUAGAUACCCGAGUAGUC